CGGGUGACGAGCGGCGGACGGGUGAGUAAUGUCUGGGAAACUGCCUGAUGGAGGGGGAUAACUACUGGAAACGGUAGCUAAUACCGCAUAACGUCGCAAGACCAAAGAGGGGGACCUUCGGGCCUCUUGCCAUCAGAUGUGCCCAGAUGGGAUUAGCUAGUAGGUGGGGUAACGGCUCACCUAGGCGACGAUCCCUAGCUGGUCUGAGAGGAUGACCAGCCACACUGGAACUGAGACACGGUCCAGACUCCUACGGGAGGCAGCAGUGGGGAAUAUUGCACAAUGGGCGCAAGCCUGAUGCAGCCAUGCCGCGUGUAUGAAGAAGGCCUUCGGGUUGUAAAGUACUUUCAGCGGGGAGGAAGGCGAUAAGGUUAAUAACCUUGUCGAUUGACGUUACCCGCAGAAGAAGCACCGGCUAACUCCGUGCCAGCAGCCGCGGUAAUACGGAGGGUGCAAGCGUUAAUCGGAAUUACUGGGCGUAAAGCGCACGCAGGCGGUCUG
RNAcentral lists this ribosomal RNA (501 nucleotides) under Enterobacter asburiae. RNAcentral's name for it is "bacterial SSU rRNA". It matches the Rfam family "Bacterial small subunit ribosomal RNA", at positions 85 to 582 of the family's 1533-position model. The record is from RNAcentral. Lineage: Bacteria; Pseudomonadati; Pseudomonadota; Gammaproteobacteria; Enterobacterales; Enterobacteriaceae.